RNAcentral lists this microRNA precursor (95 nucleotides) under Marmota monax (woodchuck). Lineage: Eukaryota; Metazoa; Chordata; Mammalia; Rodentia; Sciuridae. The record is from RNAcentral.
AAUGUGACUGCUGGAUUAUAUGUUUGUUAACUUUGUAAGAAACUCCCAAACUGUCUUCUAAAAUAGCUAUAGCAUUUUGCCUUCCUCCCAGCAAU